AGUGAACGCUGGCGGCAGGCCUAACACAUGCAAGUCGAGCGGCAGCGGGUUCCCGCGAGGGGAUGCCGGCGAGCGGCGGACGGGUGAGGAACACAUCGGAAUCUGCCUGGUUGUGGGGGAUAACGUAGGGAAACUUACGCUAAUACCGCAUGCGACCCUGAGUCGACGGACUGGGGGUGAAAGUGAGGGACCUUCGGGCCUCACGCGACCAGAUGAGCCGAUGUCGGAUUAGCUAGUUGGCGGGGUAACGGCCCGCCAAGGCGACGAUCCGUAGCUGGUCUGAGAGGAUGAUCAGCCACACUGGGACUGAGACGACGGCCCAGACUCCUACGGGGAGGCAGCAGUGGGGAAUCUUGGACAAUGGGCGC
RNAcentral lists this ribosomal RNA (368 nucleotides) under uncultured bacterium. RNAcentral describes it as "bacterial SSU rRNA". It matches the Rfam family "Bacterial small subunit ribosomal RNA", at positions 30 to 378 of the family's 1533-position model. The record is from RNAcentral.